GACUGACAUUUGAGUCAGUGGACUGGGAGAGGAAGAUUCACCCUCAGUGUGGCUGGGCACAAUCUAAUCAGCUGCCAGAGCUGCUAGAACAAAGCAGGCAGAAGAACUGGGGACUUAGAACUUUGGACUGCCUUUGAAUUUAAACAAGUGUUGGGAGCUUAACCAAGCACUGGAAAGUAGAGCUACCACCCCUCACCGUACCGCUCAGAACUGGCUAACCACAAAGAAGACGUUUCCUGCUCAAAUACCUGAUCACCACACCUACUCACCCAAUGCUCUGGUACCCAGCUUUUUCUUUUCCUGUUUACCUCGGUAUUAAAGAAAAGCCUUUCUGCCUGAACUCGGAGAUGCUUGUAGAUAUUACAGUCGGAGUGCACUCCCUAUUGCAAUACCCGCUUCUAUUGCAGCAGUCUUUUCAAAUACAAUUUCUUCUUCCCUAAGUUUGGAUUUUUUUUUUUUUCACCUGAAAAUCAUCACCAUUUUCAUUGAUUGCCAAGCUUUCUCUCAUCUCUACAUUCUACAGUUUUUGGUUCUGACAGCCUUUUUCUGCCAUACUACCCCAGUUACAAAUCUAACUACAGAAGCAUCUCAGGGGCAGGAUGAUUUUGUCACCAUGAAAAACUGUGUAAAUUGACAUGCUAGAGACAUGGAUAACCCUGGAAAACUAAAGCAGCGAAUGGUUCAAAAUUUACAGAUUCAACUUUCUAAAGCAAUGAUUUUUUGACUGACUUUUAAAAAAUUGGCUGCGUGUAUAUCUCCUAAUGCUUUCCCUCCCCCUUGCCCUCACCCCACGACAGGCCCCGAUAUGGGAUGUUCCCCUUCCUGUGUCCACGUUAUGCACAUGUACCCCAGAACUUAAAGUAUAAUAAUAAUAAAAAAAAUUGGCUGUGUUUUUACACAGUCUGAAGACAAUCUGAAAAUUGAAGUUGGCUUGAAAUUUAUAUUGGAUUAGCUAUGCUUUUCUGCUACAAUCAGCCACUAGCCUCACCACCACCAUGAACAAUGAUGCAUGUUUUCAAUUUUACGCCUCUAUUCCUUGCCUGAGAAUGUUUCCAUAUAACUUGUUAUUGUUUGACUUGGGGACUUAAUAAUCCAAAAGGAACAAGUAGAAGCACCAUGUUGUCAUGAAAAUAUCUCUAGGGUAGGAGUCACGAGACCUGGGCUCUAAUAUUGGCGUGCCAUUUAUUUAUGGUGAUCCUUGGUGGACACUUAAACUCUUCUGAGCUUCCAUUUCGUUAGAAUAAUUAAUCUUACUCCAUAUUUUAAGGACAUUACUUGUUUCACAUAUGUAUCUUAUAUCUUCAAUAGACUGAGAGUUGCCUCAGAGACUCUAUAGUACCCUAACUGCUUAAAAUAGCAAUAAACAUUUAAUUUAAUAGUUGUUCAAUAAAUACCUAUGAGUGUGUGACUUGAUGUGUAUCACUGUAAGCAAUACUAAAAUAAAUUCCACAA
RNAcentral lists this long non-coding RNA (1452 nucleotides) under Homo sapiens (human). Its description in RNAcentral is "HSALNT0108129". Lineage: Eukaryota; Metazoa; Chordata; Mammalia; Primates; Hominidae. The record is from RNAcentral.